This is a long non-coding RNA of Bos taurus (domestic cattle), 838 nucleotides long. The record is from Ensembl. Lineage: Eukaryota; Metazoa; Chordata; Mammalia; Artiodactyla; Bovidae.
UAUAACUAGUGAAGCGCCUGCAGAGUGUUACCCUCCCAAUCCUCCGGUGAGGUCCUUCCAGACUGCCCGGGAAAGAGCCUGUGAGGCUUGAACCAGAAGACCCAGCAAAGCACUGCCUGGGCUCUGCGCCCAUGGAAACAAUAAGCCAGGAAACAACUGAGCCUGGACCCAGAGUCUGGCCUGAUUGUCCCAAGGCUCCAGUCAUUGUGCCGGAUUCAAGUGUCAAGUCAAGGUCAGGAGGGCCACGAUGAGAACUGAUGAAGACUCCCAAUCCUGGCAGGAGGCUGGUCCUCCGUCUCCAUAAACACGAGCUCUGGCAGAGACGUCUGCAAGCCUAGAUCUUUACAGCUGGGCUAGUGGCUUCAACCGUCUGAAGGGCAGACUCAACAACUGCCAACCGGUGCGCUGUCCAGAAGAUGCUUUCUGCGUGGCCCUGCAAUGCAAAGUCCCCAAGCCCAAUCCCAAUGUGCCUUCCUGGUGUUCCUGGUCGCCUAGAGUUUUCACCUCCUUUGUCCCCAGUGCUGGGCACCUUCCCUAUUUAAGUAUUAUCCUAGCUGAUCACUGCUUACAGAAAGCCCAUAUUCUUCAUUUUCAUUGAUAGAGUUCCCAGAGCUCUAGCCAGUGCCUGGCAUCAAGCAGGGGCUGAAUGAGAGCGUGUGGAGGGCUUCCCUGGGGGCUUAGUGUAAAGAAUCUGCUUGCCGAUGCAGGAGACAUGGGUUCCAUCCCUGAUCUGGGAAGAUCCCACUUGCUGUGGAGCAGCUAAGCCCAUGCGCCACAACUACUGAGCCUGUGCUCCAAAGCCUAGGCUGCAGCUACUGAAGUCCCUGCGCCCUAGAGC